RNAcentral lists this transfer RNA (76 nucleotides) under Acidimicrobiia bacterium. Its description in RNAcentral is "tRNA-Glu". It matches the Rfam family "tRNA". From Rfam's summary of the family: Transfer RNA (tRNA) molecules are approximately 80 nucleotides in length. Their secondary structure includes four short double-helical elements and three loops (D, anti-codon, and T loops). Further hydrogen bonds mediate the characteristic L-shaped molecular structure. tRNAs have two regions of fundamental functional importance: the anti-codon, which is responsible for specific mRNA codon recognition, and the 3' end, to which the tRNAs corresponding amino acid is attached (by aminoacyl-tRNA synthetases). tRNAs cope with the degeneracy of the genetic code in two manners: having more than one tRNA (with a specific anti-codon) for a particular amino acid; and 'wobble' base-pairing, i.e. permitting non-standard base-pairing at the 3rd anti-codon position. RNAcentral also lists the same sequence under 2 other names. Lineage: Bacteria; Bacillati; Actinomycetota; Acidimicrobiia. The record is from RNAcentral.
GGUCCCGUCGUCUAGAGGUCUAGGACGCCGGCCUCUCAAGCCGGAAACGGCGGUUCGAACCCGCUCGGGACUGCCA